This 412-nucleotide long non-coding RNA is filed under the name Felis catus (domestic cat). RNAcentral's name for it is "lncRNA (ENSFCAG00000043625.2)". Lineage: Eukaryota; Metazoa; Chordata; Mammalia; Carnivora; Felidae. The record is from RNAcentral.
AUGAUCCAAAUGUUCCACUCACUGAGUGUGGGAAGACACAGAGCAGCAGGAGGGAAAGAACAACAGAAACUCAGUGAAGGCCAUUGGGAACCUCUGCCAAGAAGCAUUUUGAAGAGGUGGAUUCCUCCUGGUUUGGCAGCCAAGAAAAGAUUUAUUUCAGUGUUUACACCUGCUGGAAAAUUGGGAAUUCCAGAAAUCUCACAGUGUCCAGACCAGUUUUCUUUACCAAUCUGGGAUGCAGCACCCUCUUUUGAAAAACAGAGAUCAGUUCUUAGACUUUGUACAUUUAUACUAGUUUUACUUCAUUGGUACCAGGGUGACUUGAAUUCUUGAAAAGGAUGCAGUUUCCUAGAAACUUUUAGAAGAAAAGCAUUAAAAUAAAAGUUGACCAUUGAAUGGCUGGGAUUUUCUG